RNAcentral lists this ribosomal RNA (1697 nucleotides) under Epiplatys togolensis. Its description in RNAcentral is "16S ribosomal RNA". It matches the Rfam family "Bacterial large subunit ribosomal RNA". The record is from RNAcentral. Lineage: Eukaryota; Metazoa; Chordata; Actinopteri; Cyprinodontiformes; Nothobranchiidae.
ACCCAGCAGCUAGCUUGAUAAUUAAAAACCAACACAUCAGUAUUAAUAAACCCUAAAAUACAUAUUAUAUUUUAAACAAAUCAUUUUUCCUCCUGAGUAUAGGCGAUAGAAAGGGAGCUCCAUUUUUAAAGCUAUAGAAAAAGUACCGUAAGGGAACGCUGAAAAAGCAAAUGAAAAAAUCCAGUAAAGUAAUAAAAAGCAGAGGUUAUUCCUCGUACCUUUUGCAUCAUGAUUUAGCAAGUCCACAUUAAGCAAAAAGAGUUCUAGUUUAACUUCCCGAAAUUAAGUGAGCUACUCCAAGACAGCCUUAAGAUAGGGCGAACACAUCUCUGUAGCAAAAGAGUGUGAAGAGCUUCGAGUAGAGGUGAUAAACCUACCGAACUUAAUAAUAGCUGGUUGCCUAAAAAAUGAAUAGAAGUUCAGCCUUUAUUUUUCUUUACUUCUUUAUGGAUAUUUCCUAGACAAAAACCAAAGAAAAAUAAAGAGUUAUUCAAAGGAGGUACAGCUCCUAUGAAAUAAGACACAACUUUACAAGGAGGAUAAAGAUCAUAACUUAAUUAAGGUGUAUGUUUUAGUGGGCCUAAAAGCAGCCAUCUAAGAAAAAAGCGUUAAAGCUUAAACAUUUAUUUACCAAUAAUAACGAAAUUUACAUCCUAUUCCCCUAGACUUAUUAGGCUAUUCUAUUUUUAUAGAAGAAAUAAUGCUAAUAUGAGUAAUAAGAGAUAAAACUCUCCAAGCACAAGUGUAAUUCGGAGCGGAAAAUACCACCGAAAACUAAUCGAGCCCAAUAAAAGAGGGCAUUGAAACAAAAAUAGACAACUAGAAAAUUCUUCAAAUUAACCCGUUAACCCUACACUGGCGUGCAUUUAUGGAAAGACUAAAAGAAAAAGAAGGAACUCGGCAAACAUAUUUUAUAAGCCUCGCCUGUUUACCAAAAACAUCGCCUCUUGAUAACAAAAUAUAAGAGGUCCCGCCUGCCCUGUGACUAAUGUUUAACGGCCGCGGUAUUUUGACCGUGCAAAGGUAGCGCAAUCAAUUGUCUUUUAAAUGAAGGCCUGUAUGAAUGGCACAACGAGGGCUUAACUGUCUCCUUUUUCCAGUCAAUGAAAUUGAUCUUCCCGUGCAGAAGCGGGAAUUUUAACAUAAGACGAGAAGACCCUAUGGAGCUUAUAAACGCAAGAACAGACCACGUCAAUCACUCUGAUUUAUCAGACUAAACUAACUGAGCACCCUGUUCUCAUGUUUUUGGUUGGGGCGACCAUGGAGCAAAACUUAACCUCCACGCAGAACGAAAAUAUACUAUUUUCCAAUUUAAGGAAAACAACCCUAAAAAUCAGAACAUCUGACUUUUAUUGAUCCGGCAAAGCCGAUUUACGAACCGAGUUACCCUAGGGAUAACAGCGCAAUUCUCUUUUAGAGUUCUUAUCGACAAGAGGGUUUACGACCUCGAUGUUGGACCAGGACAUCCUAAUGGUGCAGCCGCUAUUAAGGGUUCGUUUGUUCAACGAUUAAAGUCCUACGUGAUCUGAGUUCAGACCGGAGCAAUCCAGGUCAGUUUCUAUCUAUGAUAUGUUCUUCUCUAGUACGAAAGGACCGAGAAGAAAAGGCCUCUACUUUAAGCAAGCCCUCCCCCUAUUUGAUGUAAACAACUAAACUAGAUAAAGGGGCAUAUACUCUUUAAGCUUAGAUAAUGCUUG